RNAcentral lists this ribosomal RNA (549 nucleotides) under uncultured Glomeromycotina. RNAcentral describes it as "SSU rRNA". It matches the Rfam family "Eukaryotic small subunit ribosomal RNA", at positions 548 to 1098 of the family's 1831-position model. Lineage: Eukaryota; Fungi; Glomeromycota. The record is from RNAcentral.
UUGGAGGGCAAGUCUGGUGCCAGCAGCCGCGGUAAUUCCAGCUCCAAUAGCGUAUAUUAAAGUUGUUGCAGUUAAAAAGCUCGUAGUUGAACUUCGGGAUCAAUUGAUUGGUCAUGCCAUUGGUAUGUACUGGUCAUAUUGGUUCUCACCUUCUAAGGAACCAUAAUGUCAUUAAUUUGAUGUUUUGGGGAAUCAGGACUGUUACCUUGAAAAAAUUAGAGUGUUUAAAGCAGGCUAACGCUUGAAUACAUUAGCAUGGAAUAAUGAAAUAGGACAUCGCAUUCUAUUUUGCUGGUUUCUAGGAUCGAUGUAAUGAUUAAUAGGGAUAGUUGGGGGCGUUAGUAUUCAAUUGUCAGAGGUGAAAUUCUUGGAUUUAUUGAAGACUAACUACUGCGAAAGCAUUUGCCAAGGAUGUUUUCAUUAAUCAAGAACGAAAGUUAGGGGAUCGAAGACGAUCAGAUACCGUCGUAGUCUUAACCAUAAACUAUGCCGACUAGGGAUCGGAUGAUGUUGAUUUUUUAAUGACUCAUUCGGCGCCUUACGGGAAAC